CGGGGAUGCCUGAGUUGGCUUAAAGGAGCGGAUUGCAAAUCCGAUGUUCGUGGGUUCGAAUCCCACUCCCUGCUC
RNAcentral lists this transfer RNA (75 nucleotides) under Pectobacterium phage vB_PcaM_CBB. RNAcentral's name for it is "Pectinobacterium phage vB_PcaM_CBB tRNA-Cys". It matches the Rfam family "tRNA". From Rfam's summary of the family: Transfer RNA (tRNA) molecules are approximately 80 nucleotides in length. Their secondary structure includes four short double-helical elements and three loops (D, anti-codon, and T loops). Further hydrogen bonds mediate the characteristic L-shaped molecular structure. tRNAs have two regions of fundamental functional importance: the anti-codon, which is responsible for specific mRNA codon recognition, and the 3' end, to which the tRNAs corresponding amino acid is attached (by aminoacyl-tRNA synthetases). tRNAs cope with the degeneracy of the genetic code in two manners: having more than one tRNA (with a specific anti-codon) for a particular amino acid; and 'wobble' base-pairing, i.e. permitting non-standard base-pairing at the 3rd anti-codon position. Lineage: Duplodnaviria; Heunggongvirae; Uroviricota; Caudoviricetes. The record is from RNAcentral.